RNAcentral lists this small RNA (168 nucleotides) under Chrysemys picta bellii (western painted turtle). Its description in RNAcentral is "TUC338 (ENSCPBG00000021987.1)". The record is from RNAcentral. Lineage: Eukaryota; Metazoa; Chordata; Testudines; Emydidae.
UUGUCAGCAAUGGAGAUUCACAUUGUCUAUUCAUUUGCAGAUUGGAUACAGCACAAGCAUCAGCAGUGCAAAUUUUCUCACCCCGGCCAACUAAUGUUCCUCAACUGUGACCAGGAAGAACCACCUCUGGAAAGUUCAGUCCCCAACCCCAUUAAAUCCUUGGCCUCU